GGAAUAUUGGUCAAUGGAUGGAAGUCUGAACCAGCCAUGCCGCGUGCAGGAAGAAGGCCUUCUGGGUUGUAAACUGCUUUUGCCAGGGGAUAAAAAGACCGUGCGCGGUUAAUUGAAGGUACCUGGUGAAUAAGCCACGGCUAACUACGUGCCAGCAGCCGCGGUAAUACGUAGGUGGCAAGCGUUGUCCGGAUUUAUUGGGUUUAAAGGGUGCGUAGGCGGCCCCGUAAGUCAGUGGUGAAAUAUCUCAGCUUAACUGAGAGGGUGCCAUUGAUACUGCGGGGCUUGAGUACAGAUGAGGUAGGCGGAAUUGACGGUGUAGCGGUGAAAUGCAUAGAUAUCGUCAAGAACACCGAUAGCGAAGGCAGCUUACUAAGCUGUAACUGACGCUGAGGCACGAAAGUGUGGGGAUCAAACAGGAUUAGAUACCCUGGUAGUCCACACUGUAAACGUUGAUGACUCGAUGUUGGCGAUACACAGCCAGCGUCCAAGAGCAAUCGUUAAGUCAUCCACCUGGGGAGUACGCCGGCAACGGUG
This 537-nucleotide ribosomal RNA is filed under the name uncultured Bacteroidota bacterium. Its description in RNAcentral is "bacterial SSU rRNA". It matches the Rfam family "Bacterial small subunit ribosomal RNA", at positions 358 to 896 of the family's 1533-position model. The record is from RNAcentral. Lineage: Bacteria; Pseudomonadati; Bacteroidota.